GGUGGCUCAAUGGUAGAGCGCUUGCCUUGCAUGCAUGAGACCCUGGGUUCGAUUCCCCAGCACCA
Molecule: transfer RNA, 65 nt
Filed under: Dipodomys ordii (Ord's kangaroo rat)
Lineage: Eukaryota; Metazoa; Chordata; Mammalia; Rodentia; Heteromyidae
Rfam family: tRNA
About the family: Transfer RNA (tRNA) molecules are approximately 80 nucleotides in length. Their secondary structure includes four short double-helical elements and three loops (D, anti-codon, and T loops).
Source: Rfam by way of RNAcentral